Molecule: ribosomal RNA, 1184 nt
Filed under: Enterococcus hirae
Lineage: Bacteria; Bacillati; Bacillota; Bacilli; Lactobacillales; Enterococcaceae
Description: partial 16S ribosomal RNA
Rfam family: Bacterial small subunit ribosomal RNA
Source: RNAcentral
CUAUACAUGCAGUCGAACGCUUCUUUUUCCACCGGAGCUUGCUCCACCGGAAAAAGAGGAGUGGCGAACGGGUGAGUAACACGUGGGUAACCUGCCCAUCAGAAGGGGAUAACACUUGGAAACAGGUGCUAAUACCGUAUAACAAUCGAAACCGCAUGGUUUUGAUUUGAAAGGCGCUUUCGGGUGUCGCUGAUGGAUGGACCCGCGGUGCAUUAGCUAGUUGGUGAGGUAACGGCUCACCAAGGCGACGAUGCAUAGCCGACCUGAGAGGGUGAUCGGCCACAUUGGGACUGAGACACGGCCCAAACUCCUACGGGAGGCAGCAGUAGGGAAUCUUCGGCAAUGGACGAAAGUCUGACCGAGCAACGCCGCGUGAGUGAAGAAGGUUUUCGGAUCGUAAAACUCUGUUGUUAGAGAAGAACAAGGAUGAGAGUAACUGUUCAUCCCUUGACGGUAUCUAACCAGAAAGCCACGGCUAACUACGUGCCAGCAGCCGCGGUAAUACGUAGGUGGCAAGCGUUGUCCGGAUUUAUUGGGCGUAAAGCGAGCGCAGGCGGUUUCUUAAGUCUGAUGUGAAAGCCCCCGGCUCAACCGGGGAGGGUCAUUGGAAACUGGGAGACUUGAGUGCAGAAGAGGAGAGUGGAAUUCCAUGUGUAGCGGUGAAAUGCGUAGAUAUAUGGAGGAACACCAGUGGCGAAGGCGGCUCUCUGGUCUGUAACUGACGCUGAGGCUCGAAAGCGUGCGGAGCAGACAGGAUUAGAUACCCUGGUAGUCCACGCCGUACACGAUGAGUGCUAAGUGUUGGAGGGUUUCCGCCCUUCAGUGCUGCAGCUAACGCAUUAAGCACUCCGCCUGGGGAGUACGACCGCAAGGUUGAGACUCAAAGGAAUUGACGGGGGCCCGCACAACCGAUGGAGCAUGUGGUUUAGUUCGAACCAACGCGAAGAACCUUACCAGGUCGUGACAUCCUUUGACCACUCUAGAGAUAGAGCUUCCCCUUCGGGGGCAAAGUGACAGUGGUGCAUGGUUGUCGUCAGCUCGUGUCUUGACAGGUGAGGUAAAUCCCGCACCACCGCAGCCCUUAUGGUAAUUGCAUUGGUUAGUGGGAAAACUACCAGACGGCCCCCGACAAAGGGAGGAGGGGGGGGGGGGGAGGGGGGGGGGGGCCCAUUAUACCGGGGGGU